UGAGGAGUCUUGGACAAUGAGCGCAAGCUUGAUCCAGCCAUAUCGCGUGAGUGAAAAGAAGGCUGACCUGGUCGUAAAGCUCUUUUGUCAAGGUACAGAUUAUGACACCCCUUGAAGAAAAAGUCCCGGCCAAUUCCGUGCCAGCAGCCGCGGUAAGACGGAAGGGGCAAGCGUUAUUCGAAAUGAUUGGGCGUAAAGCGCACGUAGGCGGUCUGGGACAGUCUGAAUGAGAAAGACCAUGGCUUCACUAUGGGACCUUAUUCUGAUUACCUUCAUUUUAUGAUGGUAUUAGUACGAAAAACUGCCGGACUCGAGUGAGUAAGAGGAAAGUGGAAUUUCUGGUGGAGAGGUUAAAUUUGUUGAUAUCAGAAGGAACAUCGACAGCGAAGGCAACUUUCUG
Molecule: ribosomal RNA, 400 nt
Filed under: uncultured bacterium
Lineage: Bacteria
Description: bacterial SSU rRNA
Rfam family: Bacterial small subunit ribosomal RNA
Source: RNAcentral